This 301-nucleotide ribosomal RNA is filed under the name uncultured bacterium. RNAcentral's name for it is "partial 16S ribosomal RNA". It matches the Rfam family "Bacterial small subunit ribosomal RNA", at positions 509 to 807 of the family's 1533-position model. The record is from RNAcentral.
CAGCAGCCGCGGUAAGACAGAGGAUGCAAGCGUUAUCCGGAAUGAUUGGGCGUAAAGCGUCUGUAGGUGGCUUUUCAAGUCCGCCGUCAAAUCCCAGGGCUCAACCCUGGACAGGCGGUGGAAACUACCAAGCUGGAGUACGGUAGGGGCGGAGGGAAUUUCCGGUGGAGCGGUGAAAUGCGUUGAGAUCGGAAAGAACACCAACGGCGAAAGCACCCUGCUGGGCCGACACUGACACUAAGAGACGAAAGCUAGGGGAGCAGAUGGGAUUAGAUACCCCCGUAGUCCCUGUCUCUUAUAC